Molecule: ribosomal RNA, 411 nt
Filed under: uncultured bacterium
Lineage: Bacteria
Description: bacterial SSU rRNA
Rfam family: Bacterial small subunit ribosomal RNA
Source: RNAcentral
AUUGAACGCUGGCGGCAUGCCUUACACAUGCAAGUCGAACGGCAGCGCGGGGCAACCUGGCGGCGAGUGGCGAACGGGUGAGUAAUAUAUCGGAACAUACCCUAGAGUGGGGGAUAACGUAGCGAAAGUUACGCUAAUACCGCAUACGCACUAAGGUGGAAAGUGGGGGAUCUUCGGACCUCAUGCUCAUGGAGUGGCCGAUAUCUGAUUAGCUAGUUGGUGAGGUAAAGGCUCACCAAGGCGACGAUCAGUAGCUGGUUUGAGAGAACGACCAGCCACACUGGAACUGAGACACGGUCCAGACUCCUACGGGAGGCAGCAGUGGGGAAUUUUGGACAAUGGGGGGCAACCCUGAUCCAGCAAUGCCGCGUGAGUGAAGAAGGCCUUCGGGUUGUAAGACGUCUUUUGUUC